RNAcentral lists this ribosomal RNA (756 nucleotides) under uncultured bacterium. RNAcentral describes it as "bacterial SSU rRNA". It matches the Rfam family "Bacterial small subunit ribosomal RNA", at positions 39 to 785 of the family's 1533-position model. The record is from RNAcentral.
GCGGCAGGCUACGCUUGCAAGUUCGAACGGUAACAUCGAAGAAGCUCGCUCCUUUGAUGACGAGUGGCGCACGGGUGCGUAACGCGUAUACAAUCUCGCCUCUUACAGGGGGAUAGCCUUUGGAAACGAAGAAUAAUACCCCAUAGUAUGUAGAUAUCGCAUGGUAAUUACAUUAAAGAUUUAUCGGUAAGAGAUGAGUAUGCGUCCUAUUAGCUAGAUGGUGUGGUAACGGCACACCAUGGCAACGAUAGGUAGGGGCCCUGAGAGGGGGAUCCCCCACACUGGUACUGAGACACGGACCAGACUCCUACGGGAGGCAGCAGUGAGGAAUAUUGGACAAUGGGCGAGAGCCUGAUCCAGCCAUGCCGCGUGCAGGAAGACUGCCCUAUGGGUUGUAAACUGCUUUUAUACGGGAAGAAACCCACCUACGUGUAGGUGGCUGACGGUACCGUAAGAAUAAGCAUCGGCUAACUCCGUGCCAGCAGCCGCGGUAAUACGGAGGAUGCAAGCGUUAUCCGGAAUCAUUGGGUUUAAAGGGUCCGUAGGUGGACAAUUAAGUCAGAGGUGAAAUCCUGCAGCUCAACUGUAGAAUUGCCUUUGAUACUGGUUGUCUUGAAUUAUUGUGAAGUGGUUAGAAUAUGUAGUGUAGCGGUGAAAUGCAUAGAUAUUACAUAGAAUACCAAUUGCGAAGGCAGAUCACUAACAAUAUAUUGACACUGAUGGACGAAAGCGUGGGGAGCGAACGGGAUUAGAUAC